GGUAGGCAAAUCCGCCGGACAUGUAGCCUGAGAGGUGAUGCGUAGCCGAUUGAGGCGAAUUCAGUGAUCCUAUGCUGCCGAGAAAAGCCUCUAGUGAGUUGGUACACGGCCCGUACCCCAAACCGACACAGGUGGUCAGGUAGAGAAUACUGAGGCGAUCGAGAGAACUGUGGUUAAGGAACUCGGCAAAAUGCCCCCGUAACUUCGGGAGAAGGGGGACCACGUCUGGUGACGGCCCUUGCGGCUCGAGCUGGGUGUGGUCGCAGAGACCAGUGAGAAGCGACUGUUUACUAAAAACACAGGUCCGUGCGAAGUCGUAAGACGAUGUAUACGGACUGACGCCUGCCCGGUGCCGGAAGGUUAAGAGGACCGGUUAGCGCCCUUCGGGGUGCGAAGCUGAGAAUUUAAGCCCCGGUAAACGGCGGUGGUAACUAUAACCAUCCUAAGGUAGCGAAAUUCCUUGUCGGGUAAGUUCCGACCUGCACGAAUGGCGUAACGACUUCUCAGCUGUCUCAACCACAGACUCGGCGAAAUUGCAUUACGAGUAAAGAUGCUCGUUACGCGCGGCAGGACGAAAAGACCCCGGGACCUUCACUAUAGCUUGGUAUUGGUGUUCGGUACGGUUUGUGUAGGAUAGGUGGGAGACUGUGAAGCGGGCACGCCAGUGUUCGUGGAGUCGUCGUUGAAAUACCACUCUGGUCGUAUUGGGCUUCUAACCUCGGACCAUGAUCUGGUUCAGGGACAGUGCCUGGUGGGUAGUUUAACUGGGGCGGUUGCCUCCUAAAGUGUAACGGAGGCGCCCAAAGGUUCCCUCAGCCUGGUUGGCAAUCAGGUGUCGAGUGCAAGUGCACAAGGGAGCUUGACUGUGAGAGCGACAGCUCGAGCAGGGACGAAAGUCGGGACUAGUGAUCCGGCACCGGCAAGUGGAAGCGGUGUCGCUCAACGGAUAAAAGGUACCCCGGGGAUAACAGGCUGAUCUUCCCCAAGAGUCCAUAUCGACGGGAUGGUUUGGCACCUCGAUGUCGGCUCGUCGCAUCCUGGGGCUGGAGUAGGUCCCAAGGGUUGGGCUGUUCGCCCAUUAAAGCGGCACGCGAGCUGGGUUUAGAACGUCGUGAGACAGUUCGGUCUCUAUCCGCCGCGCGCGUCAGAAACUUGAGGAAGGCUGUCCCUAGUACGAGAGGACCGGGACGGACGAACCUCUGGUGUGCCAGUUGUUCCGCCAGGAGCACCGCUGGUUAGCUACGUUCGGAAGGGAUAACCGCUGAAAGCAUCUAAGCGGGAAGCCUGUUCCAAGAUGAGGUUUCUCACCCACAUUGAUGGGUUAAGGCCCCCCACAGACCAUGGGGUUGAUAGGCCAGAACUGGAAGCCCGGUAACGGGUGUAGGUGACUGGUACUAAUAGGCCGAGGACUUACCAAC
RNAcentral lists this ribosomal RNA (1418 nucleotides) under Nocardia tenerifensis NBRC 101015. Its description in RNAcentral is "bacterial LSU rRNA". It matches the Rfam family "Bacterial large subunit ribosomal RNA", at positions 1531 to 2925 of the family's 2925-position model. The record is from RNAcentral. Lineage: Bacteria; Bacillati; Actinomycetota; Actinomycetes; Mycobacteriales; Nocardiaceae.